UUUGGACUUUGGUUUAAUUUUACUACCUUAACCUUUUGGCCGUGUUUCCAUUAUAAUUCUAUCCUUUUUUCUUCUUUUUACAUGGUUGAUUUAGAUGAUGCACAUAUAGCUUUGGUAUUGUAUUUUCUGAUAAAGAAUUAGCACCUGUUCUUCCAUCACCCUUUUGUUUAUCUCAGGCUCAGCGAGACUGAGAUAUGGACACCAUGCACCACCAAACCCAAGUUCAAGUAUAGUUUUCUGCAAUAUUCAUUUAAGAUAAACAUUUUAAUCUGAACAAGAAUAUUAUAUUAUUAUUAAAACAAAAUUUUCUAAUUAAUCAGCCC
Molecule: long non-coding RNA, 323 nt
Filed under: Lupinus angustifolius (narrow-leaved blue lupine)
Lineage: Eukaryota; Viridiplantae; Streptophyta; Magnoliopsida; Fabales; Fabaceae
Description: long non-coding RNA (LANG_LNC002318)
Source: RNAcentral